RNAcentral lists this long non-coding RNA (919 nucleotides) under Androctonus crassicauda. Lineage: Eukaryota; Metazoa; Arthropoda; Arachnida; Scorpiones; Buthidae. The record is from RNAcentral.
CUUAUUAACUUCCAUUGAAUUAUCGAUUAUUGUUGUUAACUUCUGUAUUUAAUAUAAAUAUAAAUAAAUCGACGUGGGAAUCCACUGAAGAUAAACAACCGAACCGUGAGAGCGGAAAUAAACAUUGAAACAUUGGAGCGAGAUAUAUGGGAAAGGAGACGACGAAAAUGAUGCAGAGAGAACCAGACACGAGGAGGAGAGGAAGCAGACCUUCUUUGGAUAGUGAACGAACAACAACCGAAAUGUAAGUCGUUACGACGGGGAAAGCAGCUCGUCCCGUUGGGACGGCCGACAAGGCCCGACGCAGCGUGAUAGUCAUGGCGACGACGACGACGAAAAGGGAACAGAGCGUCACACAUAGAGGGACGCAAGACACAGAGAUACUCUCUCUCUCUCAUAUAGACAGAGAGAGGAGAACUUCUACAUUAGUUAAUGAACGAACUACAACGCAGAAUGUAAGUCUCUCCAACGAAAAAGCACGACGUCCCGUCGGGGCGUCGAUGGACGGCCGACGAGGAUGGAGACGAUGGACGACGAGGAACAAUAGCGACGAUAAAGUAUGAACAACGACGCCGACGAUGGCGAAAGACCGACGUUAUUAGACUUUAUGGACUUUCGACUAUUUAGACCUUAAUAUCUUUGGAAAUUAUGCAGUUUCUAUUUCUUUUAAUAUCUCUCAGGUAUGUGGAUGGGCUCGUCUCACACUCUCUCGAAUGGAACAGAACAGUAUAUUGUGAAUUAUUAGUUAAGAUUAGGCUUAGGAUAUUCUUUUAUGCUUGUUUAGACUCUCAUAUUCUUGCACAGUAGUAACUUUUAUUCUUUUAUUAUUAUUAUUACUGCUGUAAAUAAAUGCUUUUGUGUAUGUUAAAUGUGUGUCCGUCGUUCAUUCCUGGAUCCCCGUACCACUUGCUCACACGCC